This 423-nucleotide ribosomal RNA is filed under the name uncultured bacterium. RNAcentral describes it as "partial 16S ribosomal RNA". It matches the Rfam family "Bacterial small subunit ribosomal RNA", at positions 359 to 774 of the family's 1533-position model. The record is from RNAcentral.
GAAUUUUGGACAAUGGGGGCAACCCUGAUCCAGCCAUCCCGCGUGUGCGAUGAAGGCCUCCGGGUUGUAAAGCACUUUUGGCAGGGCAGAACAGGCUCUGGCUAAUACCUGGAGCUGCUGACGGUACAUGCCGAAUAAGCACAGGCUAACUACGUGCCAUCAGCCGCGGUAAUACGUAGGGUGCAAGCGUUAAUCGGAAUUCCUGGGCGUAAAGCGUGCGCAGGCGGUUUGGCAAGAAGGAUGUGAAAUCCCAGGGCUUAACCUUGGAACUGCAUUCUUAACUGCCAGGCUAGAGUAUGUCAGAGGGGGGUAGAAUUCCACGUGUAGCAGUGAAAUGCGUAGAGACGUGGAGGAAUACCGAUGGCGAAGGCAGCCCCCUGGGAUAAUACUGACGCUCAUGCACGAAAGCGUGGGGAGCAAACA